This 454-nucleotide ribosomal RNA is filed under the name uncultured Bacteroides sp. Its description in RNAcentral is "partial 16S ribosomal RNA". It matches the Rfam family "Bacterial small subunit ribosomal RNA", at positions 341 to 792 of the family's 1533-position model. The record is from RNAcentral. Lineage: Bacteria; Pseudomonadati; Bacteroidota; Bacteroidia; Bacteroidales; Bacteroidaceae.
ACGGGAGGCAGCAGUGAGGAAUAUUGGUCAAUGGGCGAGAGCCUGAACCAGCCAAGUCGCGUGAAGGAUGAAGGUUCUAUGGAUUGUAAACUUCUUUUAUUCGAGGGUAAAGUGAGAGAUGCGUCUCUUAUUGCAAGUAUCGAAUGAAUAAGCAUCGGCUAACUCCGUGCCAGCAGCCGCGGUAAUACGGAGGAUCCGAGCGUUAUCCGGAUUUAUUGGGUUUAAAGGGAGCGUAGGCGGGAUGUCAAGUCAGCUGUGAAAUGUAGUCGCUCAACGUCUGCACUGCAGUUGAAACUGGUGUUCUUGAGUGCGUAAGAGGCAGGUGGAAUUCGUCGUGUAGCGGUGAAAUGCAUAGAUAUGACGAAGAACUCCGAUUGCGAAGGCAGCCUGCUGGGCCGCUACUGACGCUGAAGCUCGAAGGUGCGGGUAUCAAACAGGAUUAGAUACCCUGGUA